GACGAACGCUGGCGGCGUGCUUAACACAUGCAAGUCGAACGAUGAAGAAAAGAAUCGAAGCUUCGGCAGAAAUUCAUUUCGGAUUAGUGGCAGACGGGUGAGUAACGCGUGAGCAACCUACCUCUUACAAAGGGAUAGCCUCGGGAAACCGGGAUUAAUACCAUAUAACAUUGCGACGAAGCAUUUCGAUGCAAUCAAAGCUACGGCGGUAAGAGAUGGGCUCGCGUCCCAUUAACCGGAUGGUGAGGUAACGGCUCACCAUAGUGACGAUGGGUAACCGGCCUGAGAGGGUGAACGGUGACACUGGAACUGAGACACGGUCCAGACUCCUACGGGAGGCAGCAGUGGGGAAUAUUGCACAAUGGAGGGAACUCUGAUGCAGCGACGCCGCGUGAGUGAUGAAGGAAUUCGUUUCGUAAAACUCUGUUCUAUGGGAAGAAAAGGACUGUACCAUAGGAGAAAGCUCCGGCUAAAUACGUG
Molecule: ribosomal RNA, 480 nt
Filed under: uncultured bacterium
Lineage: Bacteria
Description: partial 16S ribosomal RNA
Rfam family: Bacterial small subunit ribosomal RNA
Source: RNAcentral